This 508-nucleotide ribosomal RNA is filed under the name uncultured bacterium. Its description in RNAcentral is "partial 16S ribosomal RNA". The record is from RNAcentral.
GGAGUUAGCCGGUUGCUUCUUCUGUGAGUGAUGUCCUUCCUGCCGGCUAUUAACCCGCAGGCCUUCUUCCUCACUGAAAGUGCUUUACAACCCGAAGGCCUUCUUCACACACGCGGCAUGGCUGGAUCAGGGUUGCCCCCAUUGUCCAAUAUUCCCCACUGCUGCCUCCCGUAGGAGUCUGGGCCGUGUCUCAGUCCCAGUGUGGCUGAUCAUCCUCUCAGACCAGCUACGGAUCGUCGCCUUGGUGAGCCGUUACCUCACCAACCAGCUAAUCCGACAUAGGCUCAUCCGAUAGCGCGAGGCCCGAAGGUCCCCCGCUUUCCCCCGUAGGGCGUAUGCGGUAUUAGCCUGGGUUUCCCCAGGUUAUCCCCCACUACCGGGCAGAUUCCUAUGCAUUACUCACCCGUCCGCCGCUCGCCACCAGGGAGCAAGCUCCCCGUGCUGCCGCUCGACUUGCAUGUGUUAGGCCUGCCGCCAGCGUUCAAUCUGAGCCAUAAUCAAACUCUGA